GUUGAUUUGGGAGAAAGAUCUCGGGCCCACCACCACACGUGACGUGUCAUUUUACAACUAUAUUAAUUUUCGAAACGUUUCAACUUUCCUCUGUAGCUACAAAGCCUUGGCGAAAGAAACGAAGCUGCAGUUUGUAAUGCCCUACACUUCGAGCUCGCUGCGAUUUUUCUCUGUACGGAACUCCCUCUGCUUUCUCUCUCUACGCGAAGUCAUUUGCGCAUACAAACGGUCUUUCGGUGUCUCUAUAUCUAUGGCAUCGCCAGCUAUGGAUUCCAGUUCAUCUUGUUCGCUGGUUCUAUGUGGAAAAUCGACGGUCGAGAGUGAACUUGCAAAAUCUAUAAAGAACAAUAGUGCCCUGAAGCUCCCUGACAUUAACGACGUUUCAAUUCUUUUGCAAUCGGAGCUGGAGAAACCGCUCCAAGAAGACUCGGACUCUAUUGGCGUCGAUUCUUUCAUGAAUUCUCUUUCAACGAAUCAGUUUGGUAGGUUCCUCAUUUGGUCUCCGUGGUUGCCUUCCACGCACGACGUCGUUUCUCACAAUUUUUGUCAGCUUCCGGUCGGUGCGGUUUGUGUUGCCGAUGCUCAGUCAAGGGGGCGAGGUCGGUCGAGGAAUGUGUGGGAAUCUCCUAGAGGUUGCCUUAUGUUUUCUUUUACCAUACAAAUGGAGGACGGGCGAGCCGUGCCUCUUUUGCAAUAUGUCGUGUCUCUUGCUAUCACUGAGGCAAUAAAGGAUGUCUGUGACAAAAAUGGCUUGCCAUGUGUUGAUGUUAAAAUAAAGUGGCCAAAUGAUCUUUACUUUAAUGGCCUUAAAAUUGGAGGCAUUCUAUGCACCUCAACAUACAAGUCGAAGAAGUUCAAUGUCAGUGCUGGUAUAGGUUUGAAUAUUGAUAACGAGAAACCAACAACAUGUUUGAAUGCAAUUCUAAGAGAAUUGUGUGUUGGGUCUUACCAAUUCAGUAGACAAGAUAUUCUUGCUACCUUUUUUAAUAAAUUUGAGGAAUUGUAUGAUCUUUUCAUAAAUCAAGGAUUUCAAACUCUUGAGGAGCUAUAUUGUAAGACAUGGCUGCACAGUGGGCAAAGAGUAAUUAUACAGGAAAAGAAUGGGGACCAAGUGGUUGAAAAUGUGGUAACUAUUCAGGGUUUGACAUCCUCAGGAUAUUUGUUAGCUAUUGGUGAGGACAAUCAAAUGUGUGAGCUUCAUCCUGAUGGCAAUAGUUUCGACUUCUUCAAAGGACUAAUUAAAAGAAAACUUGAGUGAAGAAGAUUCCUUAGCACCUUCAACUGGAAACAACUAUCGUGCUUGGAACAUGUGCAUACUGAUAAUGGACUCGCUCUGAUUUUUUUCUUGGAAAUGUUUUUCCCCAUAAAACAUUUGGAGACUUAGGCAGAUGAUGAUUCUUUUUUGGCACAAGUGGUGUGACUGGUGUCGUAAUGCAGAGUAUGUUGUAUGGAUUGGGGCCCUUGCUGUUUGCGUGUGUGUUGUGUGUUGGGAGAGAAAAUGAGUGCCCCACCUCCACAUGCGCAUCCUAGUAAUGGUGCAAAAGAUCCAAAUCAUAGAGGAACAUUGUCUCUAUCGCAACGGGGAACUAUAUUGAGGUGUUGUCCUCGAAAGGCUGCAAAAGGGGCUUGUGAGAGGGAGUUUAUACCAACUUUGUCUUUCACCAAAUCUUUCAGAUUUCAUUUAUUUCUCCUGGGCUUUUUUUAGGUUUCUGGGCUAACCAAAUUGCCAAACACAUCAACUUACGGUCUUCCACUUGAAUUGUAAUAGUCUCAAUAGGCCACAUGCAAACUUACGUGCGGUUCACAUUAAACAACAAAAUUUGACAAGUAAAUUUAAUUUAAUAGUUUACGUAACAUCAAUUUGCAAGAAAUUUAUAAUUAUAA
This is an RNA transcript of Corylus avellana, 1884 nucleotides long. It is a transcript of the gene named biotin--protein ligase 2, with no coding region annotated. Lineage: Eukaryota; Viridiplantae; Streptophyta; Magnoliopsida; Fagales; Betulaceae. The record is from RefSeq and is a predicted model, not a curated record.